GACGAACCGUGCGAACGUUGUUCGGAUUCACUGGGCUUAAAGGGCGCGUAGGCGGGCUUGUAAGUCAGGGGUGAAAUCCUCCGGCUCAACCGGAGAACAGCCUUUGAUACUGCAAGUCUCGAGGGAGAUAGGGGUCUGCGGAACUUCCGGUGGAGCGGUGAAAUGCGCAGAUAUCGGAAGGAACGCCGGUGGCGAAAGCGGCGGACUGGAUCUCAUCUGACGCUGAGGCGCGAAAGCUAGGGGAGCGAACGGG
RNAcentral lists this ribosomal RNA (253 nucleotides) under uncultured bacterium. RNAcentral describes it as "partial 16S ribosomal RNA". It matches the Rfam family "Bacterial small subunit ribosomal RNA", at positions 524 to 776 of the family's 1533-position model. The record is from RNAcentral.